Molecule: long non-coding RNA, 260 nt
Filed under: Elaeis guineensis (African oil palm)
Lineage: Eukaryota; Viridiplantae; Streptophyta; Magnoliopsida; Arecales; Arecaceae
Description: long non-coding RNA (EGUI_LNC059635)
Source: RNAcentral
UUGCGCCACAUUUGGAUCCAUGUCAAUUUCUCCAUGCCUAAUUAGAUUUGGGUUAUGAUUUUUGGCAUCAUGAGAGAACAUCCAAUAUAGGUGAUUGGCAAUUGCUAAUGAGUCAUAAUAUUAUCUCUUGCCUAAUUUGAAUGCGAUCUGAAUUAGAGAUAAGAUGUAGAUUGAAAAAAAGAUUUUUCAUAUAUAGUAUAUUGUUGGUACCAUAUUUUUUUUUAUUUUUUUUGAAGAAUCCUUUGGCAUGUAAGACUUUA